CGCGGCCUAUCAGCUUGUUGGUGAGGUAAUGGCUCACCAAGGCGACGACGGGUAGCCGGCCUGAGAGGGCGACCGGCCACACUGGGACUGAGACACGGCCCAGACUCCUACGGGAGGCAGCAGUGGGGAAUAUUGCACAAUGGGCGAAAGCCUGAUGCAGCGACGCCGCGUGAGGGAUGACGGCCUUCGGGUUGUAAACCUCUUUCAGCAGGGAAGAAGCGAAAGUGACGGUACCUGCAGAAGAAGCACCGGCUAACUACGUGCCAGCAGCCGCGGUAAUACGUAGGGUGCGAGCGUUGUCCGGAAUUAUUGGGCGUAAAGAGCUUGUAGGCGGUUUGUCGCGUCUGCAGUGAAAAUCCGGGGCUCAACCUCGGACUUGCUGUGGGUACGGGCAGACUAGUGUAUGAUAGGGGAGACCGGAAUUCCUGGUGUAGCGGUGGAAUGCGCAGAUAUCAGGAGGAACACCGAUGGCGAAGGCAGGUCUCUGGGCCAUAACUGACGCUGAGAAGCGAAAGCAUGGGGAGCGAACAGGAUUAGAUACCCUGGUAGUCCAUGCCGUAAACGUUGGGCGCUAGGUGUGGGGCUCAUUCCACGAGCUCCGUGCCGCAGCUAACGCAUUAAGCGCCCCGCCUGGGGAGUACGGA
Molecule: ribosomal RNA, 644 nt
Filed under: uncultured Actinomycetes bacterium
Lineage: Bacteria; Bacillati; Actinomycetota; Actinomycetes
Description: bacterial SSU rRNA
Rfam family: Bacterial small subunit ribosomal RNA
Source: RNAcentral